RNAcentral lists this ribosomal RNA (433 nucleotides) under uncultured bacterium. RNAcentral describes it as "partial 16S ribosomal RNA". It matches the Rfam family "Bacterial small subunit ribosomal RNA", at positions 29 to 507 of the family's 1533-position model. The record is from RNAcentral.
AGCGAACGCUGGCGGCAGGCUUAACACAUGCAAGUCGAGCGGGCACUUCGGUGUCAGCGGCAGACGGGUGAGUAACACGUGGGAACGUACCCUUUGGUUCGGAAUAACGCUGGGAAACUAGCGCUAAUACCGGAUACGCCCUUUUGGGGAAAGGCUUGCUGCCGGAGGAUCGGCCCGCGUCUGAUUAGCUAGUUGGUGGGGUAAUGGCCUACCAAGGCGACGAUCAGUAGCUGGUCUGAGAGGAUGAUCAGCCACACUGGGACUGAGACACGGCCCAGACUCCUACGGGAGGCAGCAGUGGGGAAUAUUGGACAAUGGGCGCAAGCCUGAUCCAGCCAUGCCGCGUGGGUGAUGAAGGCCUUAGGGUUGUAAAGCUCUUUUGUCCGGGACGAUAAUGACGGUACCGGAAGAAUAAGCCCCGGCUAACUUCGUG